Molecule: ribosomal RNA, 1407 nt
Filed under: uncultured bacterium
Lineage: Bacteria
Description: 16S ribosomal RNA
Rfam family: Bacterial small subunit ribosomal RNA
Source: RNAcentral
UUCGCCCUUAGAGUUUGAUCCUGGCUCAGGACGAACGCUGGCGGCGUGCCUAACACAUGCAAGUCGAACGAAGCUGCGUGAAUAGAGGCUUCGGCCAAUUGAAACGUAGACUUAGUGGCGGACGGGUGAGUAAUGCGUGAGCAACCUGCCCUUCAGAGGGGGACAACAGCUGGAAACGGCUGCUAAUACCGCAUGAUGUACUUGGGAGGCAUCUCUUGGGUACCAAAGAUUUAUCGCUGAAGGAUGGGCUCACGUCUGAUUAGCUAGUUGGUGAGGUAACGGCUCACCAAGGCUGCGAUCAGUAGCCGGACUGAGAGGUUGAACGGCCACAUUGGGACUGAGAUACGGCCCAGACUCCUACGGGAGGCAGCAGUGGGGAAUAUUGGGCAAUGGGCGCAAGCCUGACCCAGCAACGCCGCGUGAAGGAAGAAGGCUUUCGGGUUGUAAACUUCUUUUAUGAGGGACGAAGGACGUGACGGUACCUCAUGAAUAAGCCACGGCUAACUACGUGCCAGCAGCCGCGGUAAUACGUAGGUGGCGAGCGUUGUCCGGAUUUACUGGGUGUAAAGGGCGCGUAGGCGGGUAGGCAAGUCAGAUGUGAAAUCUCCGGGCUCAACCCGGAAACUGCAUUUGAAACUGUCUAUCUUGAGUAUCGGAGAGGCAAGCGGAAUUCCGUGUGUAGCGGUGAAAUGCGUAGAUAUACGGAGGAACACCAGUGGCGAAGGCGGCUUGCUGGACGACAACUGACACUGAGGCUCGAAAGCGUGGGGAGCAAACAGGAUUAGAUACCCUGGUAGUCCACGCCCUAAACGAUGAUUACUAAACGUGGGAGGUAUCGACUCCUUCCGUGUUGAAGCAAACGCGAUAAGUAAUCCGCCUGAGGAGUACGGCCGCAAGGUUAAAACUCAAAGGAAUUGACGGGGACCCGCACAAGCAGCGGAGCAUGUUGUUUAAUACGAUGAUACGCGAAGAACCUUACCAAGACUUGACAUGCUGGGGCAUAUCACAGAGAUGUGAGAAAGGGUAGCAAUAUUCCUCCAGCACAGAUGGUGCAUGGUUGUCGUCAGCUCGUGUCGUGAGAUGUUGGGUUAAGUCCCGCAACGAGCGCAACCCUUGCGAAUAGUUGCCACAAUUCAGUUUGGGCACUCUAUUUGGACUGCCGUAGGUAAUACGGAGGAAGGUGGGGAUGACGUCAAAUCAUCAUGCCUCUUACGUCUUGGGCUACAAGCGUGCUACAAUGGCUAUAACAAAGAGAAGCGAAUCAGCAAUGAAGAGCAAACCUGGAAAAGAUAGUCUCAGUUCAGACUGUGGGUUGAAACUCACCCACACGAAGAUGAAGUUGCUAGUAAUCCCGAAUCAGCAUGUCGGGGUGAAUGCGUUCCCGGGUCUUGCACUCAACGCCCGUCA